RNAcentral lists this unclassified non-coding RNA (240 nucleotides) under soil metagenome. RNAcentral's name for it is "partial contains 5.8S ribosomal RNA, internal transcribed spacer 2, and large subunit ribosomal RNA". The record is from RNAcentral.
AACCAUAGAAACCUGCGGAGUACCUGCGGAAGGAUCAUUACAGAGUUGCAAAACUCCCACAAACCAUCGCGAAUCUUACCCGUACGGUUGCCUCGGCGCUGGCGGUCCGGAAGGCCCUCGGGCCCCCGGACCCUCGGGUCCCCCGCUCGCGGGGGGCUGCCCGCCGGAGUGCCGAAACCAAACUCUUGAUAUUUUAUGUCUCUCUGAGUAAACUUUUAAAUAAGUCGAAACUUUUAGCAA